UCGGGAAUUUUGGGCAAUGGGCGAAAGCCUGACCCAGCAACGCCGCGUGAGGGAUGAAGUAUUUCGGUAUGUAAACCUCGAAAGAAUGGGAAGAAUAAAUGACGGUACCAUUUAUAAGCUCCGGCUAACUACGUGCCAGCAGCCGCGGUAAUACGUAGGGAGCAAGCGUUGUUCGGAUUUACUGGGCGUAAAGGGCGCGUAGGCGGCGCGGUAAGUCACUUGUGAAAUCUCUGAGCUUAACUCAGAACGGCCAAGUGAUACUGCUGUGCUAGAGUGCGGAAGAGGCAACCGGAAUUCUGGGUGUGGCGGUGAAAUUCGUAGAGAUCAAGAGGAACACCUGAGGCGAAGGCGGGUUGCGGGGCCGACACUGACGCUGAUGCGCGAAAGCCAGGGGAGCAAACG
Molecule: ribosomal RNA, 402 nt
Filed under: uncultured bacterium
Lineage: Bacteria
Description: bacterial SSU rRNA
Rfam family: Bacterial small subunit ribosomal RNA
Source: RNAcentral